UUAUGAAAGACUGCUUACUUAUAAGUGCUAUGUUUUUACUUAUUAGGUUUUAAGGAGAAUGCAACAGGUUCCAGGGCCUCUUACCUGCGUGAUUCAUCAUCCAGGUUUUGCACAAAUUGUCUAAAUCCCUACACACAGAACAUUUAUUGUACCGACUAUAAGCCUUUGAGGCGCAGGACUAGAAUAUGCUUGGAGCUUCCUGAUCGGAAUGUUGGCUUUCGACGACCCCUGCACUGAAGAUGGCAUGCAAUCAAGUCCUCCUUUGAAGGUCUCUCAAACUGUGAUGCCAGGUCCAUUGGAAUCGGGGUUUCCUUCAGCUUAUCUUCAAAUACCUCAUCAAACACAAGCCUGAUCACAUCAUCCACAUAACUGUAGAAAUAUUGCAGUCAAUAAAUCUUUUGUUUUGAUCAUUUAUUUCCCUGCUUCAUACAUUAAGUUUUUAAUUAUGAAUGUAUUUGAAAUAAAACAUUACUGCUUA
Non-coding RNA from Paramisgurnus dabryanus, 478 nucleotides. NCBI's taxonomy places the organism in Eukaryota, Metazoa, Chordata, Actinopteri, Cypriniformes, Cobitidae. The record is from RefSeq and is a predicted model, not a curated record.